This 301-nucleotide ribosomal RNA is filed under the name uncultured bacterium. Its description in RNAcentral is "partial 16S ribosomal RNA". It matches the Rfam family "Bacterial small subunit ribosomal RNA", at positions 509 to 807 of the family's 1533-position model. The record is from RNAcentral.
CAGCCGCCGCGGGAAUACAGAGGGUGCGAGCGUUAAUCGGAUUUACUGGGCGUAAAGCGUGCGUAGGCGGCUUCUUAAGUCGGAUGUGAAAUCCCCGAGCUUAACUUGGGAAUUGCAUUCGAUACUGGUUAGCUAGAGUGUGGGAGAGGAUGGUAGAAUUCCAGGUGUAGCGGUGAAAUGCGUAGAGAUCUGGAGGAAUACCGAUGGCGAAGGCAGCCAUCUGGCCUAACACUGACGCUGAGGUACGAAAGCAUGGGGAGCAAACAGGAUUAGAUACCCCUGUAGUCCCUGUCUCUUAUAC